This 253-nucleotide ribosomal RNA is filed under the name uncultured bacterium. RNAcentral describes it as "partial 16S ribosomal RNA". It matches the Rfam family "Bacterial small subunit ribosomal RNA", at positions 524 to 776 of the family's 1533-position model. The record is from RNAcentral.
UACGUAGGGGGCAAGCGUUGUCCGGAUUUAUUGGGCGUAAAGAGCGUGUAGGCGGCCAAGUAGGUCCGUUGUGAAAACUCGAGGCUCAACCUCGAGACGCCGAUGGAAACCAUUUGGCUAGAGUCCGGAAGAGGAGAGUGGAAUUCCUGGUGUAGCGGUGAAAUGCGCAGAUAUCAGGAAGAACACCCGUGGCUAAGGCGGCUCUCUAGUACGGUACUGACGCUGAGACGCGAAAGCGUGGGGAGCAAACAGG